GACGAACGCUGGCGGCGUGCCUAAUACAUGCAAGUCGAACGCUUCUUUCCUCCCGAGUGCUUGCACUCGAUUGGAAAGAGGAUUGGCGGACGGUUGAGUACCACGUGGGUAACCUACCCAUCAGAGGGGGAUAACACUUGGAAACAGGUGCUAAUACCGCAUAACAGUUUAUGCCGCAUGGCAUACGAGUGUAAGGCGCUUUCGGGCGUCGCUGAUGGUUGGACCCGCGGUGCCUUAGCUAGUUGGUGAGGUAACGGCUCACUGAGGCCACGAUGGAUAGCCGACGUGAUAGGGUGAACGGCCACACUGGGAGGGAGACACGGCCCAGACUCCGAGGGGAGGCCGCAGUAGGGAAUGUUCGGAAAUGGACGGAAGUCUGACCGAGCAACGGCGGGUGAGUGAAGAAGGUGUUCGGAUGGUAAAACUGUGUUGUUAGUGAAGAACAAGUACGGUAGGAGCUGAACGUGCCGUGACGGUACCUAAACAGAAAGCCACGGCUAACUACGUG
This 508-nucleotide ribosomal RNA is filed under the name uncultured bacterium. RNAcentral describes it as "partial 16S ribosomal RNA". It matches the Rfam family "Bacterial small subunit ribosomal RNA", at positions 28 to 507 of the family's 1533-position model. The record is from RNAcentral.